This is a long non-coding RNA of Passer montanus (Eurasian tree sparrow), 1654 nucleotides long. RefSeq lists it as uncharacterized. The record is from RefSeq and is a predicted model, not a curated record. NCBI's taxonomy places the organism in Eukaryota, Metazoa, Chordata, Aves, Passeriformes, Passeridae. The transcript is spliced from 4 exons.
CAGAAUAGUGGGCCUUUUUUUACAGUUACAGAAUGGCCCUUUCUUUAUGGGUUACAUGAUUGCUCCUGGAAAAAGGAUGUUAUGCAUGCAAGUCGCCCAGCUCUGCUGGGAGAGAUGUCCCUUCUUCAGAAGUCUGCUGCUGUAUAGAACUGUCCACAAAGUGUAACUCAACUUUUGAAGAGGCUGGUCUUCGAGAUCUAGAGCCUGUAGCCUUUUUGAAAUUUGGAGAACUUUGAACAGCAGAUCAUGGAACCACUGCAAGUAGAUCUGGCAGAAGUCCCUCAUCUGCUGAAGCCACAGGAGUUCCACACUGAUGCAAGAGGAGCAUCUUUGCCGUUGGAGUGGGAGCUCUGCUCGCUGUGCAUCCAAUGAAAAUUUUUAUUUUGUUGAGUCAGCUCAAAGCACAAAGUGCUUGUUAGUUUUCCCAUCCAGUGUUGGACCUCACUCAACAAAUAAUGAAUCAUGGGUGUGUUGUGCUUCCAUCCUUUUUCACCUUUACCACUUGCUAAUUUUGGAACUUGCAGUUUAUAAUUACAAUGCUGAGCCAGGGCUCUUGGCUUGGGAAAUGAGAAUGUUUUAAAGGGAAGCCUAAUAGCUGCAUCUUGGUUGAAUACACCGUGAAGAGCUGAGUCUGACCUACAUUAAAAGCUUAGAGAGCUUUUCAUUUUGCAAAUGAAUAGAGGGCCCUAACACUGAGGGGAAAGCACAUAUUAAUUUCUCUCUAAACCAUUGGGAUGCACAGAAAUAGAAAUGGAAGGGGUUUUGUGGGACCUCUCAGUGCUUGUUUUGGGAUGUUAUGGGGCAGUGCACUUUGUAAGGGUUUGAGUCAGUGCCUGCUGCAGUAACCUGCUGUAAACUGGACUAAGCAGACAAUUUGCUUUGCCCUAAAACAUCUCCUGAAUGCCAGCAAAUUAAAGGCCACUUUUAUGUUACAUGUUUAAUUAGUUUUAAGUAAUGCAGGUAAAAGAACAGCUGAUUAAGUUAUUUGCAAGACUUUUCUGAUGCUGCAUCAGAGAGUUCUGCCUUUUACGCAGAAGACAUCCUUGACACCUCGGUUUGGAGUCUGCAUCUCAUCAUGAAGAAGGGAAGCUUUUCAUAAGGAGGAAGACAAUUUGAGAAUAAUUUCCUUCCCUGAGGCUGCACCUACAAUCAAAGGAGGAUAUCAGCUAUUGCAAAACCCCGAGCAUGGGGAAUUUUACUCCAGAGGAAGUCCGUGAUCAGGGUUCUUCUCUCUUGGGUUAUUAAAUAUUCUCUCAAAAUAAAUCAUCUGAUGAUUUUCCACUGACUGAUACUUAGCUCUGGGAAAGGACAAAUUCAUUUUGCCAAAAUUGCCUCUGAAUUAGGAUGUUGCAUACCCCAUUGCUGGGGACAUGGACUACUGCAGAAAACACUACAAUUCAAUUACACUAGUGAAUGCAAUAUUAUUUGUGAAAUAAAAUUGCCUUAUUGGAUAUUUAGCCUUCUUGGAUCUUUAAAAAAUCAUCAAACAAAGUGAUUCCCUAUUACCUGAGUAAAAAGGAAUUAAUGAAAGAGCAAAAUUAUCAGAAAGGUCUGAAAGGAAAUGAUUAUGAGUUAUCCUGAUGUUAGCAGAGAGUUCAAAAAUAUUCACAUUUGUCAUCUGGUUUGUCACCUUUGAUAAGCCUCUUUGUCUCCC